GACGAACGCUGGCGGCGUGCCUAAUACAUGCAAGUCGAGCGAAUCUUUAGGAGUUUGCUCCUAUUGGUUAGCGGCGGACGGGUGAGUAACACGUGGGCAACCUGCCUAUAAGACUGGGAUAACACCGGGAAACCGGUGCCUAAUACCGGAUAAUCCUUUCCUCACAUGAGGGAAAGCUGAAAGACGGUUUCGGCUGUCACUUAUAGAUGGGC
This 212-nucleotide ribosomal RNA is filed under the name uncultured bacterium. RNAcentral describes it as "partial 16S ribosomal RNA". It matches the Rfam family "Bacterial small subunit ribosomal RNA", at positions 28 to 230 of the family's 1533-position model. The record is from RNAcentral.